RNAcentral lists this unclassified non-coding RNA (255 nucleotides) under Teloschistaceae sp. Its description in RNAcentral is "partial contains 5.8S ribosomal RNA, internal transcribed spacer 2, and large subunit ribosomal RNA". The record is from RNAcentral. Lineage: Eukaryota; Fungi; Ascomycota; Lecanoromycetes; Teloschistales; Teloschistaceae.
CGCACAUUGCGCCCCUUGGUAUUCCGGGGGGCAUGCCUGUUCGAGCGUCAUUGCAACCCUCAAGCUUUGCUUGGUAUUGGGCGUUCGCUUCCCCGUUUCGGGGGAGGCGCGCCUGUAAAUUAGUGGCGGCCCCGGGGGGACCUCAAGCGUAGUAGAACCUUUUCGCUUGGGCGGUGCCACCCGGGGCCCGGCCGUCAACCUCUCCAUCGAUCAAUGAUUGACCUCGGAUCAGGCAGGGAUACCCGCUGAACUUAA